Molecule: non-coding RNA, 73 nt
Organism: Podarcis lilfordi (Lilford's wall lizard)
Lineage: Eukaryota; Metazoa; Chordata; Lepidosauria; Squamata; Lacertidae
Source: the annotation of a GenBank genome assembly
CAGCAUAGUUCCAUCGGCAGAGCAUGAGACCCUUAAUCUCAGGGUUGUGGGUUCAAGCCCCACGGGUGAAAGA